This is a small nucleolar RNA of Lacerta agilis (Sand lizard), 184 nucleotides long. RefSeq annotates it as small nucleolar RNA SNORD97. NCBI's taxonomy places the organism in Eukaryota, Metazoa, Chordata, Lepidosauria, Squamata, Lacertidae. The transcript has a single exon. The record is from RefSeq and is a predicted model, not a curated record.
AUGCCCGAUGAUUAUAAAAAGACGCGUUAUUAUGAGGACAAAUGCUGGAACUCCCUCCCUACCUUCUGCCUCUUAACUUUUUUCUCUUUUCUCUCUUUCCGCCUGCCCCUUUUCCUCCUCUUCUUCUCCCCUCCCCCGGGAGUCUCCAGUGUCCUAUGAACAAGAUUAUGAGAUAUGAGGGCAA